Long non-coding RNA from Musa acuminata AAA Group (dessert banana), 843 nucleotides. RefSeq lists it as uncharacterized. Lineage: Eukaryota; Viridiplantae; Streptophyta; Magnoliopsida; Zingiberales; Musaceae. The transcript is spliced from 3 exons. The record is from RefSeq and is a predicted model, not a curated record.
UGUCGACCCCUCGGUUUGGAGCGAUCUCUGGAGUAGUCCUCGUGUCCGGGAAAGCUCCAUGCAUCCGUUGGUUCUCCGAUUCACCAAGCCACACUACCAUCCGUCGGGAUCCCACCGCCUCAGCCUUGAGGCCAGGUGCUCUCUCUCUCUCUCUCUCUCUUUGUAGGAUUGAUUUCCGUGUGAUCGCGAGGCAUGGCUUCUCGAAUUUGGUAUUGAGCACACCGAUGGCUUUAAGGCGGAACAAGUCUGUUUCGCAGAUCUGCUAUCUUGUUCAUUUGGGAGCAGCCUCUGCAAUGGAAGAUUUGAAAGCAGCACUGAACGAGCAUGUUGAUCUCGCUUCCGAACUCUUCGAGAAGUUCUCCGCCGAACUCCGCAGCGGAUUCGGCCCGGCCGUGGACAACUUUGUGAGUUUCUUCCACGCAAUUGAUUGGAAGUUUCUGGUGUGUAUCUUGCUGAGAAGGUAAAUAGUUUCCUGGUCCCAGGAACUGGAAGAGCUUUUCAAGCCAGAACUAUUUUGAUCCUCAUGGUCUCUUUAUCUCAGUGCUGUGGUCAUAAUUGUGGUAAAUACUCUCUUCACACUUUGCCAUCUUAUGGUGAAAUGGAAAAAAGCACAACUGAGGCAUGAUGCUCGGCUUUCUCGUGGCAAACAGGAAUAGCAUGUAUUGUUCUAUGUUUUGAGCAAUUCAUACAUUGGUUUUCUUUCCAUAAGCUAGGGAAGCCUGCAAUAUUAAGCUGUGUUGCACGAUUCAUAGGGAUUUUGAUCAUUUUCUAGCGGCAUCACAGACUUGAGAACUGGAAUUGAUAACAGAACUAGCUUAGAAAUUUGAGAUUUCAAGUGAUAAA